UAAGGGCAGGGGCGCCUGUUAAAUUUUAUUUAAAAAAAUGAUUGAGAAAGAGGGUUCAGUUAUGGAAAAUUUGUUAAAUUUUUAAGACCUGAAAUUAAAGUUUUAUUCUGGCUUUUUAGUUUAGUGAAUGGUGACCUUACAUGCGAUGGUUUUUUUAAAUAUGUUUUGAGCAGUAAAUAAAUUUAAUGAUUAAGGAGAUUUAGAAUUAGGUAUCAAUAAAAGUAUAGACAAAUCUUGUGCCAGCAGUUGCGGUUAGACAUGAUAUACUUCUAAAUUGGGUUCGGAUAGUAAUUAUCUUUUUAUUUGGAAUGAGGGUUGGUUGUAUAAGGUGAAAUUUUGCAAUUAAUUAAUUUUUUUUUAGAAUGAAAAAUUAUUAGAUUUUUAUAUUAGACUAGGAUUAGAUACCCUAUUAUUGAGAAUGUAAAAUAAAAUUCCCGAGUAGUAUUAGGGAUUCUUGAAAUUUAAAAAAUUUGGCGGUGUUUUAAUCUGUUCAGAGGAACCUGUCCUGUAAUUGAUAAUCCACGAUAAAUUAUACUUAUUCUUUAAGUUUGUAUAUCGUCGUUAUUUGAAUAUCUUUUAAGGGAUAAAUAUUCAAUAUUUUAAAUUAGGAUAUAAAUCAGAUCAAGGUGCAGUAGACGGAUAAGUAGAGAUGGGUUACAAUGAAAAUAUUUAUAUGGUUUGGGAGGUGAAAUUCUUUUAAUAAAUAGGAUUUGAUAGUAAAAUAGAUUAUUUAAUUUAUUUGAUUAUAGCUCUAGAAUAUGCACAUAUCGCCCGUCGCUCCUACUAUAAAGUAGGAUAAGUCGUAACAUAGUAGGUGUACCGGAAGGUGUACCUGGAAAGGC
This 842-nucleotide non-coding RNA is filed under the name Falcicornis taibaishanensis. Lineage: Eukaryota; Metazoa; Arthropoda; Insecta; Coleoptera; Lucanidae. The record is from RNAcentral.